RNAcentral lists this ribosomal RNA (567 nucleotides) under uncultured bacterium. Its description in RNAcentral is "bacterial SSU rRNA". It matches the Rfam family "Bacterial small subunit ribosomal RNA", at positions 336 to 917 of the family's 1533-position model. The record is from RNAcentral.
UUCCUACGGGAGGCAGCAGUGGGGAAUUUUCCGCAAUGGGCGAAAGCCUGACGGAGCAAUACCGCGUGAGGGAGGAAGGCUCUUGGGUCGUAAACCUCUUUUCUGUGGGAAGAAUAAAUGACGGUACCACAGGAAUCAGCAUCGGCUAACUCCGUGCCAGCAGCCGCGGUAAUACGGAGGAUGCAAGCGUUAUCCGGAAUCAUUGGGCGUAAAGCGUCCGUAGGUGGCUAUUCAAGUCUGCCGUCAAAGACUGGGGCUUAACCCCGGAAAGGCGGUGGAAACUGAAUAACUAGAGUGCGGUAGGGGUAGAGGGAAUUCCCAGUGUAGCGGUGAAAUGCGUAGAGAUUGGGAAGAACACCGGUGGCGAAAGCGCUCUACUGGGCCUGCACUGACACUGAGGGACGAAAGCUAGGGGAGCGAAAGGGAUUAGAUACCCCUGUAGUCCUAGCCGUAAACGAUGGAUACUAGGUGUUGGCAGUAUCGACCCUGCCAGUACCGGAGCUAACGCGUUAAGUAUCCCGCCUGGGGAGUACGCACGCAAGUGUGAAACUCAAAUGAAUUGACGGA